AAUUCGAUGAUACGCGAGGAACCUUACCAAGGCUUAAAUGGGAAAUGACAGGUUUAGAGAUAGACUUUUCUUCGGACAUUUUUCAAGGUGCUGCAUGGUUGUCGUCAGCUCGUGCCGUGAGGUGUUAGGUUAAGUCCUGCAACGAGCGCAACCCUUGUCACUAGUUGCUACCAUUUAGUUGAGGACUCUAGUGAGACUGCCUACGCAAGUAGAGAGGAAGGUGGGGAUGACGUCAAAUCAUCACGGCCCUUACGUCUUGGGCCACACACGUAAUACAAUGGUCGGUACAGAGGGCAGCUACACGGUGACGUGAUGCGAAUCUCGAAAGCCGAUCUCAGUUCGGAUUGGAGUCUGCAACUCGACUCUAUGAAGCUGGAAUCGCUAGUAAUCGCGCAUCAGCCAUGGCGCGGUGAAUACGUUCCCGGGCCUUGUACACACCGCCCGUCAAGCCAUGGAAGUUUGGGGUACCUGAAGUCGGUGACCGUAAAAGGAGCUGCCUAGGGUAAAACAAGUAACUAGGGCU
RNAcentral lists this ribosomal RNA (523 nucleotides) under uncultured bacterium. RNAcentral's name for it is "bacterial SSU rRNA". It matches the Rfam family "Bacterial small subunit ribosomal RNA", at positions 948 to 1482 of the family's 1533-position model. The record is from RNAcentral.